This 520-nucleotide ribosomal RNA is filed under the name uncultured bacterium. RNAcentral describes it as "bacterial SSU rRNA". It matches the Rfam family "Bacterial small subunit ribosomal RNA", at positions 1 to 524 of the family's 1533-position model. The record is from RNAcentral.
GGAUCCAGACUUUGAUUCUGCUCAGGACGAACGCUGGCGGCGCGCCUAACACAUGCAAGUCGAGCGGGAAGCUUUUUAAGGAUUCUUCGGACGAAUUAAAAAGUGGAGAGCGGCGGACGGGUGAGUAACGCGUGAGAAACCUGCCCUAUACAGGGGGAUAGCCAUUGGAAACGAUGAUUAAUACCCCAUAUGACCACAGUAUCGCAUGAUACAGCGGUGAAAACUCCGGUGGUAUAGGAUGGUCUCGCGUCUGAUUAGCUAGUUGGUGGGGUAACGGCCUACCAAGGCGACGAUCAGUAGCCGGCCUGAGAGGGUGACCGGCCACACUGGAACUGAGACACGGUCCAGACUCCUACGGGAGGCAGCAGUGGGGAAUAUUGCACAAUGGGCGAAAGCCUGAUGCAGCGACGCCGCGUGAACGAUGAAGGCUUUCGAGUCGUAAAGUUCUGUUCUUGGGGAAGAUAACGACGGUACCCAAGGAGAAAGCACCGGCUAAAUACGUGCCAGCAGCCGCGGUAAU